GCUGGAAUGGCCGAGUCGUUAAGGCGAGUGAUUUGAAUUGUCACUAUCACUUGGUGUUUCACCGCGUAGGUUCAAAUCCUGCUUCCAGCG
RNAcentral lists this transfer RNA (90 nucleotides) under Termitomyces sp. J132. It matches the Rfam family "tRNA". Rfam says of the family: Transfer RNA (tRNA) molecules are approximately 80 nucleotides in length. Their secondary structure includes four short double-helical elements and three loops (D, anti-codon, and T loops). Further hydrogen bonds mediate the characteristic L-shaped molecular structure. tRNAs have two regions of fundamental functional importance: the anti-codon, which is responsible for specific mRNA codon recognition, and the 3' end, to which the tRNAs corresponding amino acid is attached (by aminoacyl-tRNA synthetases). tRNAs cope with the degeneracy of the genetic code in two manners: having more than one tRNA (with a specific anti-codon) for a particular amino acid; and 'wobble' base-pairing, i.e. permitting non-standard base-pairing at the 3rd anti-codon position. The record is from Rfam by way of RNAcentral. Lineage: Eukaryota; Fungi; Basidiomycota; Agaricomycetes; Agaricales; Lyophyllaceae. RNAcentral also lists the same sequence under 1 other name.